RNA transcript from Pelmatolapia mariae (spotted tilapia), 3148 nucleotides. It is a transcript of the gene named nectin-4-like, with no coding region annotated. The transcript has 8 exons. NCBI's taxonomy places the organism in Eukaryota, Metazoa, Chordata, Actinopteri, Cichliformes, Cichlidae. The record is from RefSeq and is a predicted model, not a curated record.
GCGCUGAGAGCUGCAGCUGCAGCAAUGAGCGAAUCUCAUGACAGAAGACCAAAUGAAGCAGAUGGAGUUACAUCAUUUGUUUGUGUUUUCACGCACAAUUAGUAGGAUAAUUCAGUGCCACUCUGUGUUUUCCGUGAUACCCUGUCGUUUGGUGAUAAUAUCUGCGUUCCUGCUGACCAGAGAAGCUGCUGACGCUCUCCAGGUGAUUGGUGGAAGUGUGACAGUGGUUCAAGGAGGCACCGCUAUCUUACCGUGCCAUGUCAUCAAUACCAAUGAUGUCCUGACACAGAUUACCUGGCAGAGGAAGACAAGAGAAAAACCUCGCAAUGACAAUUUCCUAACUAUCUUACCCAGAAAUGGAGUGCAGUUUGUUAAUGGAGGUGAUGAUCGAUUUAAAUAUAUCGGGAAUUUUAACAAUAAAAAUGGAACUCUCCAGUUAUCCAAUGUUACCCUGAAGGAUGAAGGCAGCUACACGUGCAUCUUCACCUUGUUUCCCAGUGGAAAUCAGAAGACAGAAAUACCUCUGAACUUGCUUGUGCCUCCUUUCACAAACAUCAAGGACAAUCUUCCCACUUUGGGCACAGAAGAGGUUUUAUUUGCUACCUGCACGGCUGUUGGCUCGAAGCCUCCUGCAGAGGUGAGGUGGCUCACUGAUGCUUUGGGAGACAAAGUGAGGACGACAACAAACUCCACCCAGUAUGACAACGGUACGACUACCACAGUCAGCUCUGUGUUUGGUGUUCCUAUGAGAGAGAUUAACGGUCACCAGGUCCAGUGUGUCAUCAGUGGUGACUCCCUGUCUACAGAAAAAAGUCUGCCCUUCACCAUACAGGUCUACUUCUCACCCACAGAAGUGAACAUUAGAGCAAUUUCAGAGGACUCGUUUGAGUGUGUGACAGAAGCCAACCCAAAUGCAAAAUUUAACUGGAGCAGAUAUGGCCAGUCUUUGCGGCAGCCUGGUGUCAAAGCAGAUGGUGCAAAGCUACAAAUGCUGAGUCUUACCUCUGAUCUAAACGGCCUUUAUCAGUGUGAAGCAUCUAAUACAUAUGGAAGUAAACACGGUCAGCUCUAUGUGCGUGUGGCAUCAGGAGCAUGUUCUGCUGCUUGGGCCUUAUUUGGUCUUUUGCUUUCCCUGAAUGUCAUUGGAGUUACAGCAUCGUGCUUUUAUAAAUAUGGAUGUUUUCAAAGUAGUGGUGUAUGGGGGCAAAAAUUGUGAAUUGUAUUCACAUGGCAUCAGGCAGAGUGUCCUAACAACUGAAGCAGGUGUUGACGCAACGGAGCAAGAACAGCAGGGAGAGGAAUUUGUCUGACAGUUAUGGAAGGUAUGAAGUCAAAUGGAGGAGCAACUGGAAUGCUUGCACUUCACUCUUAUGGAAUUUUUUUGAUCAUCAUACCAAAUAUAUAAAUAGACUAACAGAUCAUUCUCAGUGAUAUGACUUUUUUCUGCAAACCUUAUCACGCCUGUAGUUUUUGUUGAACACUCGAGGAUGUGGACAAGUGGGUGAAACAUUUGUCUGACAGAUAACUCAAGCAGAGAAAAACAUCCUUGCAAAAGUGUUGAACUUUUCUGUGUCCACUGUUUCGAACAGUGAUUCGAAACAACACCAUUGCAGAUGUGGAUGCAGAGCAACUACAGAUGAAAGUUUCAGCCUGUCUCAGUAAUGCAAAGGCCCCAGCAUCAGACAUAAUGUAGACUUGUAGUCAAGACCGCCUAAACCGAGACCAAGACAAUACCGAGACGAGACCAAGACCGAGACAAAAAAGUCUUUAAACUGCAGCCAGAUGCUGCUUCGUUUACAGGUGUCAGGCAUAUUUAUGUGUUUUUGCGAUGCACUCGCACAGCCCUCCUCACCGCUGUCUACUGUCUCACUCACUUACUGAGAGGACAGACGCACGCUCCACUUGACUGUCGCAUCUCUCACCCUCUCUGUUUUUCACAUAAUGAUAUUAUCCUAUAUCCUCACAUGUGAUUCGUCACAAUAUGGAGGGAUUGGAGCACAGCUGAGCCACUGUGUGAGAGCUGAGCAGCAAAAGGAAAUUAAGUGAGGAGCCGGCUCUCGCUCAAUGGGAGUCGACUCUUCUGAUUCACUACAAAGCACUCUCUAAGCACAGCUCUUAGAGCUGAUGCUUUUGCGCAUGACACAUUAUCAAACAUUACGUUGUGUGUCAUGGAUACUGCUGACUCCAGAGGCAGAGCCAGACAAUUUAUAAACCCUUUAUAAUUUAUUUUAGCCCUAAAGGGUAGUAUGCAUGUGGGAUGGGGAGGGGAAAUGACUGAAAGAUUUAUUAGGCUCUGUUUUGAGUUUUGUUCAAAAAAGAAUGACUUCAUGACUUCAGGAAAAAUAUAUAUAUCACAUAUGCAGGACACCUUAAACUAGUUGUUUUAAUUAAGCAGCAAGGCAGAACAAAGUCGGGGCUGUAUCAAGACACGCGGACUAAACCCCAAUUCAACCAGACCCAGAACUGAUCUGGAAUUAAAACAGGACUACAACAGUUCAAAAUCAGGACUACUGAGGACUUAACCAAGACAGAACCAGAAUCAAAACUAGAUGAUAGUAGCACUAAAAAUCAUCAUAGACCUGCACUACACUUAUUUUUUAAUUCUACCAAAGUACACUAUUUAGAUUGAGAAAAGUUUAGAUAAUUAUUUAGCCUUGUUGUGCAAACAAGCCUGCAUAACUUAAUAAAUACAGAAUUUGAAAAGUAACAAAUGGUAUCUAAAAAGAGACACAAGGUACUAGAUACAUGUAGAUUGAUAAAUAUAAAAAACAUAUUUGUUAACUUGAAGAGUAAAGAGAGAAACUAUCUGUAUUUCUUAAUUAUAAAUGGCACCAAAUUGUAUUCAAAAUUGAGCCACACUUAUGGAGGUCCACAAUUCUUUUCCUGGUGUUUUGGUUGACAUCUCUUGAAUUUCCCAUGUCACAGAAACAGGUUCUGUGUUUUGCCUUAUAUGCAUCCACAGGUGUGCCACCAAUUUACUCACGUGGACUCUACUAACCUAUCAGAAGCUUCUUCAGCUCAGAAUGGAAUCGUCUGGAGUUUUCUUAUUAAUUAACAAUAAACUUAGUGUAUAUGUACUCCUAAAUUUGAUGAAAGUGAUAAAAAAUAGACAGCUCUGUCUCUCUUUAUUCUGACAUUUAACUAAUUC